GUUAAAUUAAUACACUUCCCCCAAAGAACAUUUCGGAUUUUCCUACUACAUAUUGCAAUGUUCCGGUAACAAGAGGAAUUUCUUGUUUUCUCGAGAGUCCCAUACAAAACUGGCAGACACCGAGAAAUAGUUGACAAGUUUUACCCUUAAAACGCCACAAGCUUACAAGAUGGAUUGGCGAGAAGCUUGACUGGACUGCACGAAUCGCCAAUCACAGCAGAUAAAGGCUAAACUGGCGCCUGCAUAUUUAAUCAUGCUGCAAGAAAAGGAAGGAGUAAUGCUACAGUCUACCGGAGAGUUUAUCUUUCCCAGAUGGGCAAGUAAACUGAUGGCUCAGGGGCUUCUUCCAAAACAGGCCGGCUUCUCAGUUUCGAACAAUUUUAAACUCAAACGGGCAUCACUAGUGUGACCGACCCAUUUGAGAACAGCGGUUCAGAGUGGGACUUUGCAAAGUGUAGCAGAAAAUGUGUAGGAGGAGAUGGCGCAGCUGUCACAGACGAACCUCAAACAGCGCUGUGACUAGCCUUUUAAUCGGACUGGCUAACAAAUUAGUCUGCAGGAAGGACACAACGCUGUACUUUUAAAGUGAACUGGCCGCUUCCUUGGUUGACGAGAUCAAACUAUUUAAGCAGACUAGUUUUUUUAAAGAAAGUAAAAAUGAUGCAUUCGACAUAUAAACCUCAAAGCAAUAUUAAACUGGGCACAUGGUCCCGCAUAGCAACUGUUUGCUAUUUUGGACUUUGCAGUCUAAGUUAAAGCCCUCCGAAGCACAUUACCUUCUCUGCAUAACUUUAAAGCACAUUACCUGGUAACCAAGCAGUCUUCCUCAUUUUCAUUUGAAUAAUCUAAAAUUUCACACGUGCAUACAAAUACAUGAGAAAGCAAUCAUUCGUAAGUGUCCGCCGACACCCUGUUUUAUUCAGUAAAAGCUGUUUGCCUGUUUGGGGUGAGAAUUCCGCCUUACCCACCACGCCUGAGCCCAAGUUCUCUCAUUCCGAACACAUACCAGUCCUGAUCGCGGCUGCUGUUACAACAUGCAAGGUGUUGAAAACCUGCUAGACCAAAGGAACCUUUCUACCUCGCUCCUUUGGUUCAAGAAUGCCCGAGUGUGCAAGGCUCAUAAUGAUUAAAACUCUGCAUGUCUGCUGAAACCCAUCAUCGUUUCUGGCGAAAUAAAAGCUCAGAACUCGA
This is a long non-coding RNA of Pristis pectinata (smalltooth sawfish), 1191 nucleotides long. RefSeq lists it as uncharacterized. Lineage: Eukaryota; Metazoa; Chordata; Chondrichthyes; Rhinopristiformes; Pristidae. The transcript is spliced from 2 exons. The record is from RefSeq and is a predicted model, not a curated record.